UACGUAGGAUCCAAGCGUUAUCCGGAAUUACUGGGCGUAAAGAGUUGCGUAGGUGGAUUGUUAAGUGGGGCGUGAAAGUGUACGGCUCAACCGUAUUAUUGCGUUCCAAACUGACAAACUAGAGUACGAGAGAGGUAGAUGGAAUUCCCAGUGUAGGAGUGAAAUCCGUAGAUAUUGGGAGGAACACCGAUGGCGUAGGCAGUCUACUGGCUCGUUACUGACACUAAGGCACGAAAGCGUGGGGAGCAAACGGG
Molecule: ribosomal RNA, 254 nt
Filed under: uncultured bacterium
Lineage: Bacteria
Description: partial 16S ribosomal RNA
Rfam family: Bacterial small subunit ribosomal RNA
Source: RNAcentral